This is a small nuclear RNA of Acomys russatus (golden spiny mouse), 103 nucleotides long. The record is from RefSeq and is a predicted model, not a curated record. NCBI's taxonomy places the organism in Eukaryota, Metazoa, Chordata, Mammalia, Rodentia, Muridae.
GUGCUCACUUCGGCAGCAUGUAUGCAAAAUUGGAAGGAUACAGAGAUUAGCAUGGCCACUGCACAAGGAUGAGAUGCAAAUUCGUAAAGCAUUCCAUAUUUUU